UAUUAUCCUCUGGAGUUGAGCAAG
This 24-nucleotide unclassified non-coding RNA is filed under the name Mus musculus (house mouse). Its description in RNAcentral is "oocyte_clustered_small_RNA3853". Lineage: Eukaryota; Metazoa; Chordata; Mammalia; Rodentia; Muridae. The record is from RNAcentral.